Molecule: small nucleolar RNA, 203 nt
Organism: Calidris pygmaea (Spoon-billed sandpiper)
Lineage: Eukaryota; Metazoa; Chordata; Aves; Charadriiformes; Scolopacidae
Gene: U3
Rfam family: Small nucleolar RNA U3
About the family: Small nucleolar RNAs (snoRNAs) are involved in the processing and modification of rRNA in the nucleolus. There are two main classes of snoRNAs: the box C/D class, and the box H/ACA class.
Source: Ensembl
AAGACUAUACUUUCAGGGAUCAUUUCUGUAGUUGGUCACUAGAGGGGAGUGAUCGCCCUUGACCGGCGUCACAAUCCGCGAGGAGGAUGUUGUCGUUCUCUCCUGAGCGCGAGGCGGGCGGCGGCGCUGCCUGGGCAGGAGCCGUCGCCAUCGAUGACCGUUCCCGGUGUGUUCCGGGAGGGAGAGAACGCGGGCUGAGCGGG